GACGAACGCUGGUGGCGUGCUUAACACAUGCAAGUCGAACGGGAUUUAGUAAACAGAAGCCUCGGUGGAAGAUUACUAAUGAGAGUGGCGAACGGGUGAGUAACGCGUGAGCAACCUGCCUAUGACAGUGGGAUAGCCUCGGGAAACCGGGAUUAAUACCGCAUAAAAUCGUAGAAACACAUGUUUUAACGGUCAAAGAUUUAUCGGUCAUAGAUGGGCUCGCGUCUGAUUAGCUAGUUGGUGAGAUAACAGCCCACCAAGGCGACGAUCAGUAGCCGGUCUGAGAGGAUGAACGGCCACAUUGGAACUGAGACACGGUCCAAACUCCUACGGGAGGCAGCAGUGAGGAAUAUUGCACAAUGGGGGAAACCCUGAUGCAGCGACGCCGCGUGAACGAAGAAGGUAUUCGUAUCGUAAAGUUCUGUCCUAUGGGAAGAUAAUGACAGUACCAUAGAAGAAAGCUCCGGCUAAAUACGUG
This 478-nucleotide ribosomal RNA is filed under the name uncultured bacterium. RNAcentral's name for it is "partial 16S ribosomal RNA". It matches the Rfam family "Bacterial small subunit ribosomal RNA", at positions 28 to 507 of the family's 1533-position model. The record is from RNAcentral.